UACAGAGGUGCCGAGCGUUACGCGGAAUCACUGGGCUUAAAGGGCGCGUAGGCGGGCUGUCAAGUCGGUGGUGAAAUCUUUCGGCUCAACCGGAAAAUUGCCUUCGAUACUGGCGGCCUGGAGGGCGGUAGGGGCAUGCGGAACUUCCGGUGGAGCGGUGAAAUGCGUAGAUAUCGGAAGGAACACCGAUGGCGAAAGCAGCGGGCUGGACCGUUUCUGACGCUGAGGCGCGAAAGCGAGGGGAGCAAACGGG
RNAcentral lists this ribosomal RNA (253 nucleotides) under uncultured bacterium. RNAcentral's name for it is "partial 16S ribosomal RNA". It matches the Rfam family "Bacterial small subunit ribosomal RNA", at positions 524 to 776 of the family's 1533-position model. The record is from RNAcentral.